RNAcentral lists this ribosomal RNA (497 nucleotides) under uncultured bacterium. RNAcentral describes it as "partial 16S ribosomal RNA". It matches the Rfam family "Bacterial small subunit ribosomal RNA", at positions 28 to 507 of the family's 1533-position model. The record is from RNAcentral.
GAUGAACGCUGGCGGCGUGCCUAAUACAGUCAAGUCAAGCGAACAGACGAGGAGCUUGCUUCUCUAACGUUAGCGGCUGACGGGUGAGUAACACGUAGAUAACCUCCCUUUAAGACUGGGAUAACUUCGAGAAUCCGGUGCUAAUACCGUAUAAUAUCUUGAACCGCCUGGUUCAAUAGUGAAAUACGUUUUUGCUUUCACUUAUAGAUGGAUCCUCGCCGCAUUAGCUAGUUGGUAAGGUAACGGCUUACCAAGGCAACGAUGCGUAGCCGACCUGACAGGCUCAUCGGCCCCUCCGGAGCUGCGACCCGGUCCAGCCUCCCACGGGAGGCACCAGUAGGGACUCUUCCGCAAUUCGCGACAGCCUGACGGAGCAAUGCCGCGUGAUUGAUGAUGCUCUUCGGAUCGUAAGACUCUCUUAUUUGGGAGGAACAAAUCUCUAAGUCACUAUCCACGUCUUGACGGUAACUGCUCAGCAAGCUACGGCUACCUACCUG